GAUGAACGCUGGCGGCGUGCCUAAUACAUGCAAGUCGAGCGAACAGACGAGGAGCUUGCUCCUCUGACGUUAGCGGCGGACGGGUGAGUAACACGUGGAUAACCUACCUAUAAGACUGGGAUAACUUCGGGAAACCGGGGCUAAUACCGGAUAAUAUAUUGAACCGCAUGGUUCAAUAGUGAAAGACGGUUUUGCUGUCACUUAUAGAUGGAUCCGCGCCGCAUUAGCUAGUUGGUAAGGUAACGGCUUACCAAGGCAACGAUGCGUAGCCGACCUGAGAGGGUGGUCGGCCACACUGGAACUGAGACACGGUCCAGACUCCUACGGGAGGCAGCAGUAGGGAAUCUUCCGCAAUGGGCGAAAGCCUGACGGAGCAACGCCGCGUGAGUGAUGAAGGUCUUCGGAUCGUAAAACUCUGUUAUUAGGGAAGAACAAAUGUGUAAGUAACUAUGCACGUCUUGACGGUACCUAGUCAGAAAGCCACGGCUAACUACGUG
This 497-nucleotide ribosomal RNA is filed under the name uncultured bacterium. Its description in RNAcentral is "partial 16S ribosomal RNA". It matches the Rfam family "Bacterial small subunit ribosomal RNA", at positions 28 to 507 of the family's 1533-position model. The record is from RNAcentral.